RNAcentral lists this transfer RNA (81 nucleotides) under Lachnospiraceae bacterium. RNAcentral's name for it is "tRNA-OTHER". Lineage: Bacteria; Bacillati; Bacillota; Clostridia; Lachnospirales; Lachnospiraceae. The record is from RNAcentral.
GCCGCAUACCCGAAUGGUCGGAAGCGGUCUUGAAAACCGUGGCUCUUAACGGAGUAGGGGGUUCGAUUCCUCUGUGCGGCG